CUUAAAAAUGUUUCAAGUGCUAUUAUCCACUGUAGUGUUCAAUCACAAAACUGUCGUAUGGAAUUUAGAAUCCGUUAACAUAAAAUGAUCAACCUGAUAUAUCACAAUGGAACCAGUGAAUUAAGUGCUCAAAAAUUUCACUGUAACACGAUAACAACAUACACAAAACAAGGAAUCAAGAUGGAUAAACAAAAAACAUGAUGGUGAUGAUGACGAAGAUAAUGAUGGUGAAGACGAUGGUGAUUAUUGUGAUAAUGGUAAUUAUGGGGACAGUGAUUGUGAUACAUAAUUAGACUGGUCCCUCUUCACCUUGUACACAUUGUUUAACUGAAAUGGUCAGGGAUAAUCACUUUCAGGAUAAUUUUCACUAAAUUUUGUGGUUUUAUUGUUUGGUGACAAUUUAAAGAUCAGGUGCUACGGUUUACUGGGGAUCAAAAAGUGCCACAGGAUAUUGACGUUCAACCGAAGGACCAGAAAAUAGACUGGACAAUGUGUUUGAUUUAGCGAAGGAUACAGAGAAGCUCAUGAAAUUAGACUUAUAACGAUGGAAAGGUUACGCUUGAUUCAAGUGUUGUCUUAAAGUGCGUCACGAAAUGUUCAAAGUGUGCAACAGGAUCGAAAAUUCAGAUAUUUUGACUCGUCUUCGAUAAUCAAUCUGAAUCCAUAUUUUGAUCGUUACAUUCUUAGUGAAUUAUGACUGACCUCACGUUUGAUGACAGUCAUUUUCGUCAAAAGCACCCGUCAAAUUAUGCGAGACUGCUUACGAUUAUUGCCUUGUAUUGUCAAAAAGUAAUGACGGAAUCUUUUGCAAAUCUAA
Long non-coding RNA from Tetranychus urticae (two-spotted spider mite), 817 nucleotides. RefSeq lists it as uncharacterized. NCBI's taxonomy places the organism in Eukaryota, Metazoa, Arthropoda, Arachnida, Trombidiformes, Tetranychidae. The record is from RefSeq and is a predicted model, not a curated record.